AUCGCUUCUCGGCCUUUUGGCUAAGAUCAAGUGUAGUAUCUGUUCUUAUCAGUUUAAUAUCUGAUACGUCCCCUAUCAGGGGACUAUAUAUUAAACGGAUUUUUGGGCACAGGGAGUCGGAGGAAGGAGCUUGCUCCGUCCGCUUCAAGCAUCGACCCGUUAUUGCAGUGCGUUCGGGAACGGUGCGCCUCUC
Molecule: small nuclear RNA, 193 nt
Organism: Conger conger (European conger)
Lineage: Eukaryota; Metazoa; Chordata; Actinopteri; Anguilliformes; Congridae
Product: U2 spliceosomal RNA
Exons: 1
Source: RefSeq, a predicted model, not a curated record